Molecule: ribosomal RNA, 99 nt
Filed under: Legionellales bacterium
Lineage: Bacteria; Pseudomonadati; Pseudomonadota; Gammaproteobacteria; Legionellales
Description: partial 23S ribosomal RNA
Rfam family: Bacterial large subunit ribosomal RNA
Source: RNAcentral
AUAGAGUCGUAGUAGACCACUACGUUGAUAGGCUGGAUGUGGAAGCGCGGUAACGCGUGUAGCUGACCAGUACUAAUAACUCAAUUGGCUUGAUUUAUG